This 253-nucleotide ribosomal RNA is filed under the name uncultured bacterium. Its description in RNAcentral is "partial 16S ribosomal RNA". It matches the Rfam family "Bacterial small subunit ribosomal RNA", at positions 524 to 776 of the family's 1533-position model. The record is from RNAcentral.
UACGGAGGGUGCAAGUGUUAUCCGGAUUCACUGGGUUUAAAGGGUGCGUAGGUGGGCAGGUAAGUCAGUGGUGAAAUCUCCGAGCUUAACUCGGAAACUGCCGUUGAUACUAUUUGUCUUGAAUAUUGUGGAGGUAAGCGGAAUAUGUCAUGUAGCGGUGAAAUGCUUAGAUAUGACAUAGAACACCAAUUGCGAAGGCAGCUUACUACACAACGAUUGACGCUGAGGCACGAAAGCGUGGGGAUCAAACAGG